RNAcentral lists this ribosomal RNA (301 nucleotides) under uncultured bacterium. RNAcentral describes it as "partial 16S ribosomal RNA". It matches the Rfam family "Bacterial small subunit ribosomal RNA", at positions 509 to 809 of the family's 1533-position model. The record is from RNAcentral.
CAGUCGCCACGGGAAUACAGAGGAUGCAAGCGUUAUCCGGAAUGAUUGGGCGUAAAGGGCUCGCAGGCGGUUUCUUAAGUCUGAUGUGAAAGCCCCCGGCUCAACCGGGGAGGGUCAUUGGAAACUGGGAAACUUGAGUGCAGAAGAGGAGAGUGGAAUUCCACGUGUAGCGGCGAAAUGCGUAGAGAUGUGGAGGAACACCUGUGGCGAAGGCGACUCUCUGGUCUGUAACUGACGCUGAGGAGCGAAAGCGUGGAGAGCGAACAGGAUUAGAUACCCCAGUAGUCCCUGUCUCUUAUAA